GACGAACGCUGGCGGCGUGCUUAACACAUGCAAGUCGAACGGAAAGGCCCCUUUGGGGGUACUCGAGUGGCGAACGGGUGAGUAACACGUGAGUAACCUGCCCUUGACUUCGGGAUAACUUCAGGAAACUGGGGCUAAUACCGGAUAGGAAUCCUUGCUGCAUGGUGGGGGUUGGAAAGCUUCGGCGGUUUUGGAUGGACUCGCGGCUUAUCAGCUUGUUGGUGGGGUAGUGGCUUACCAAGGCUUUGACGGGUAGCCGGCCUGAGAGGGCGACCGGCCACAUUGGGACUGAGAUACGGCCCAGACUCCUACGGGAGGCAGCAGUGGGGAAGAUUGCACAAUGGGCGGAAGCCUGAUGCAGCAACGCCGCGUGCGGGAUGACGGCCUUCGGGUUGUAAACCGCUUUCAGCAGGGGCGAAGCUUGUGGUGACGGUACCUGCAGAAGAAGCACCGGCUAACUACGUG
RNAcentral lists this ribosomal RNA (465 nucleotides) under uncultured bacterium. RNAcentral's name for it is "partial 16S ribosomal RNA". It matches the Rfam family "Bacterial small subunit ribosomal RNA", at positions 28 to 507 of the family's 1533-position model. The record is from RNAcentral.